Molecule: unclassified non-coding RNA, 305 nt
Filed under: plant metagenome
Description: partial contains 5.8S ribosomal RNA, internal transcribed spacer 2, and large subunit ribosomal RNA
Rfam family: 5.8S ribosomal RNA (bases 1-105)
Source: RNAcentral
GAAAUGCGAUAAGUAGUGUGAAUUGCAGAAUUCAGUGAAUCAUCGAAUCUUUGAACGCACAUUGCGCCCUUUGGUAUUCCUUAGGGCAUGCCUGUUCGAGCGUCAUCUAAACCUUCAAGCCCUGCUUGGUGUUGGGUGCCUGUCCCGCCUCCGCGCGCGGACUCACCUCAAAUCCAUUGGCGGCCCCCGCGUCGGCCACGAGCGCAGCAGAAACGCGAACUCGUGAGCCCGUACGGGCGGCUCCCAGAAGCUACACCCACCCAGUUUGACCUCGGAUCAGGUAGGGAUACCCGCUGAACUUAAGC